CGUGUAGGCGGCCGAAUAAGUCAGAUGUGAAAUCCCUGGGCUUAACCCAGGACGUGCAUUUGAAACUAUUCGGCUUGAGUAGGGGAGAGGAAAGUGGAAUUCCUGGUGUAGAGGUGAAAUUCGUAGAUAUCAGGAGGAACACCGGUGGCGAAGGCGACUUUCUGGCCCUAUACUGACGCUGAGACGCGAGAGCGUGGGUAGCAAACA
This 207-nucleotide ribosomal RNA is filed under the name uncultured bacterium. RNAcentral describes it as "partial 16S ribosomal RNA". It matches the Rfam family "Bacterial small subunit ribosomal RNA", at positions 568 to 774 of the family's 1533-position model. The record is from RNAcentral.